RNAcentral lists this ribosomal RNA (490 nucleotides) under uncultured bacterium. RNAcentral describes it as "partial 16S ribosomal RNA". It matches the Rfam family "Bacterial small subunit ribosomal RNA", at positions 30 to 507 of the family's 1533-position model. The record is from RNAcentral.
AUUGAACGCUGGCGGCAGGCCUAACACAUGCAAGUCGAAUGGUAACAGGAAACAGCUUGCUGUUUCGCUGACGAGUGGCGGACGGGUGAGUAAUGUCUGGGAAACUGCCUGAUGGAGGGGGAUAACUACUGGAAACGGUAGCUAAUACCGCAUAACGUCGCAAGACCAAAGAGGGGGACCUUCGGGCCUCUUGCCAUCAGAUGUGCCCAGAUGGGAUUAGCCAGUAGGUGGGGUAACGGCUCACCUAGGCGACGAUCCCUAGCUGGUCUGAGAGGAUGACCAGCCACACUGGAACUGAGACACGGUCCAGACUCCUACGGGAGGCAGCAGUGGGGAAUAUUGAACAAUGGGCGCAAGCCUGAUGCAGCCAUGCCGCGUGUAUGAAGAAGGCCUUCGGGUUGUAAAGUACUUUCAGCGGGGAGGAAGGGAGUAAAGUUAAUACCUUUGCUCAUUGACGUUACCCGCAGAAGAAGCACCGGCUAACUCCGUG